CUGAACCUAGUGUUUGGAUGACUGUAAGAGAGGAGGGGAGCAAUCUGGUUGGCGGCUGCAAGGAGGAAGGGGCUAGCACCUCCCUUCUUUCUUUCUUUAUCUGGACAUGGCGGCAAGAAACCCUAGGGUUUCUUGCUCCUGGGGCAUGGAGGAUGGCUGGAGAGAGAGGGAGAAGAGAGAGAGAGACUUGGGAGAAAGGGUCGUCUAUUACUUGGCUUUUUCAAACCUAUACAAGUACAUGUAUAUAUAAACACCGGGUCAAGUGACCCAAACN
This 274-nucleotide long non-coding RNA is filed under the name Elaeis guineensis (African oil palm). Its description in RNAcentral is "long non-coding RNA (EGUI_LNC049208)". Lineage: Eukaryota; Viridiplantae; Streptophyta; Magnoliopsida; Arecales; Arecaceae. The record is from RNAcentral.